CAGUACUGUCCUUGACUUGUCUAGAGGGAAACCCUCUCCUUCAUCACUACCGUCAGACAUAAACCAGGGACCAAAAAGAUCAGAAAACUGAGGCCCAAGGACUUGAAGUGAAUUGUCCAAGGUCACAAAGGUCUGAUCAUUCACAGCCAUAGCAAGUCAGCCAGUAACCGUAUAUUAAGCACCCACUAUAUACCAGGUUAUGCUCCUGUAAUGGGAUUGCUGGAUCAAAGG
Phascolarctos cinereus (koala) is the source of this 231-nucleotide non-coding RNA. NCBI's taxonomy places the organism in Eukaryota, Metazoa, Chordata, Mammalia, Diprotodontia, Phascolarctidae. The record is from RefSeq and is a predicted model, not a curated record.